Molecule: unclassified non-coding RNA, 226 nt
Filed under: Hevea brasiliensis (rubber tree)
Lineage: Eukaryota; Viridiplantae; Streptophyta; Magnoliopsida; Malpighiales; Euphorbiaceae
Source: RNAcentral
AUUUAAGUUUGUUAUUGUUAGUUAAUUUUUUUAUAAGUUAAGUUUUUUAAGUUUAUUGAAUAUGUUUUUUUUUUAAUGUAUAGUUUAUUUUGGAGAUUUUGUUUUAUGUAUUUGAUAAGGAGUGUUAAAAUUUUUAAGAUAAAUUAUAUAUUGGGAAGAAAAUAUAUUUAAUAAAUUUAAAAGGUUUGAUUUAUAAGGAAGUUAGUUGAUAAUAAUGGAUUUAAAU